Long non-coding RNA from Anopheles merus, 2645 nucleotides. RefSeq lists it as uncharacterized. The transcript is spliced from 3 exons. Lineage: Eukaryota; Metazoa; Arthropoda; Insecta; Diptera; Culicidae. The record is from RefSeq and is a predicted model, not a curated record.
UCCAUCUAGCGGGGUGGUUCAUGUUUUUCCGUUUUCCCUCAGCACCUUGUUGUUUUGCAUGCCGGAAACUUUUAGGCAUAAACACACAGACACACAUAGAGGCGAAAAGCGUAACGCUAUCCUUGUUUCACGCAAAAAGCCCUUCUCACGUGGACAAAGUCACGCAGACUAGUAAACCAAGUAGGCCUCCCGUGAACAGGUGUAGCAGUAGCAGCAGCAGCAGCAGCAGCAUCAGGAUACACGCACCGUUCCUUUGGGCCACACCGUGCUGUCGCGAAACGAUUCCAACGAAAUGUGAAUGAGAGAGAGAGAGAGAUAGAGAGAGAGAGAGAGAGAGAGAGAGAGAGAGAGAGAGAGAGAGAGAGAGUGUCCUGUGACGACGAACCUCCAUUGGUGGUAGUGUGUGUACAGUACACUUUCCCGGCGCUCUAAAAAUUUCCAAAACCAAAGGGACGAAUAAAAAGGUAUUUGUGUUUUUUAUUCCUUUUCUCCAUCGAGAGCAGGGAACGCAAGGAAAAUCACCGGAAAAUGCCACCGAAGAGAGGGGGGGGGGUAGGUUUUUGGCCAUUCUUCAUCACUGCCGCCGUCGUCGUUGUUGUUGCAGGGGGGAAUGCGUUGGUUUUGGUGGUUGCCAUGGUGAUGAGCGUUUCGCGAAUCGCGCGCGCACAUUCGUGACGUUUUUGUGUGCGUUUUCCAGCUGUAGUAAACAGUGAAAAGUUCGUCCCUGUAUGUGUGUGUUUGUGUGUGCGCGCGUGUUUGGAGAAAUCGUACCGUGGAGCGCGGAGCAGGAUGUUUUGCCCCGGUGACUGUAACAAUCCAGGACGCCAUUUGCCAUGGCACCCACCCCAUCAUCCCCCUCACGGGAGCUGCGUCCAAAGUGAAGACUGAAAGAAUGAAAGAGAGAGAAAGCCAUCGCAUUUUUCCGGCAGAAUCAGCAGCAGCAGCAGCCAUCUUUUUGGCGUAGACCCGUGAACUGUCGUGGUGCAGAAAGCAGAGAGACUGGAGGGAUCCUAGACGGCUAUGCUGUUAGAACAGAGCGAGAGCGAGAGGGAGAGCUUCUGAGGGACGUUGCUGAAGAAGAAGCGGACCAGCGAAGUGCGUACCCGUGUGCUGCUAGAGAUGGCAAGAUGUCCGUGUGCGAUUAAACACGCACCACGGCGUUCGCGUACAGCCAGCAAUUUCCAACAGCGGCGUGACACCAUCGCCGACAACGGCCAACAUUGUGCUAGGAUGACACAUUCAGGAGCGGAGAUCGGUGGCCUUCAUCCUGGGACGGCUCUUCGGUGCUAUCAACACACACACACGCACACAUCGUUUCAAUGACAUUCCACACGGGAGCUCAGGAACGCACCGGAACGGGAAGAGUGGAGUGUACGGGAAUCGAGCAGCUGAAAUGCUGAAAUGGCUGACUUUAACUCGGUUUGAGUCCUUCUGUGUCGGAGCUGAUAAACAACGGUUCGCCGGUAGAGGGUUGUACAGUGGCUGUUUUUUAACCAAACUAUUCCACCACCCGGGACCACUGUGUGUGUGUGUGUGCGCGCGAUACGCCAAAACGAUGACGUUUCUCAACGUGCUCGUCUCCGCCGCCGGCAGUAGCAAAGCGCUCGGCGUACGCCUAUCGAAUCGACAAUGAAUUCCGUUCCAGGCCGGCCCCCGUUCGACCGUACCGGCGGCCGUCCCCGACGAACCCGUUCGCAUCAACCAUCAUCGCGGGGCUCGCGGACACGUAAUCCGUCUGUCGUUGAUCCUGUUCGACCGCGACCUUCCGCGUGCAGACUGCCCCACCCGCACCCCGAAGACACUCGCAAACCAUUUGGGUAAGUUACUUCAACACACACACACACACACUCACUACUGGCUGGAGGUUUGAUGGAAAACAAUGCGAUCCGUUCGCUGAUGCGGGACACUUCGAGCAGCAGCCGUCUUCUAACACACUUGCAAGCGGAUGUGUCGCAUUCGAUACGGUUGCACCCGUGAGUGAAGAGUAGAAGACAAGCGAAGGAAACCUGCUCGAAGGCUCACACAGCACCGUUUCUCGAGCCUACACCUUCGACGACGGUACGUGGCAAUGGGUUCGAUUUGACUUUUCUUUUUCCUCGUGGGCCCUCAGCAAACCCUCAGCAUGCCGUCGUCCUCCGGGUGAGCGAAACUUCCGAAAUCUUCCGGCCCACGGAACACGCAGCGUCUCCGGGAGGGGCAAUGGUCACGGUACAAGUGUAUGGUGUAUAUUUAUGCAUCGCAUCAAAAUCUGCAUAAUAUGUCGAGGGGCGUGUAACAUUGAAAAUCCAUCGCACCCGAGCAUUGGCGGGAUGGGGGUAAGCAUUUUUUUUUAUAAUGCAAAUAAGCGUUACAGUAACGCACGCGCUCGCGUGUUAUUAUCGACGUUGAGUGAAGAUGAUGGUUUCCUGCCGGAGCAAUUGUCGUCGGGCGCCCGUUCUCUGGAGCCAAUAUCCCAGACAAUAAGGUGCGCGAUAAGCGGCAAGGACGCUUCCAAAUUCGUUCCCAUCCCUGUGGAAAGGAGAAAAAAGCGAGCUGGAACUGGCUGAUUUGGUUUAUUUUAUUAUUUGUACGUACAAAUGUUUUUGUACCCCCGCACAUACAUGUAUAUUUUCAUUGAAAUGUAUUGGUGCUCGGUGCACGGAACC